RNAcentral lists this ribosomal RNA (241 nucleotides) under uncultured Staphylococcus sp. RNAcentral describes it as "partial 16S ribosomal RNA". It matches the Rfam family "Bacterial small subunit ribosomal RNA", at positions 99 to 334 of the family's 1533-position model. Lineage: Bacteria; Bacillati; Bacillota; Bacilli; Caryophanales; Staphylococcaceae. The record is from RNAcentral.
CGGACGGGUGAGUAACACGUGGAUAACCCACCUAUAAGACUGGGAUAACUUCGGGAAACCGGAGCUAAUACCGGAUAAUAUAUUGAACCGCAUGGUUCAAUAGUGAAAGACGGUUUUGCUGUCACUUAUAGAUGGAUCCGCGCCGCAUUAGCUAGUUGGUAAGGUAACGGCUUACCAAGGCAACGAUGCGUAGCCGACCUGAGAGGGUGAUCGGCCACACUGGAACUGAGACACGGUCCAG